This 442-nucleotide ribosomal RNA is filed under the name uncultured bacterium. RNAcentral describes it as "partial 16S ribosomal RNA". It matches the Rfam family "Bacterial small subunit ribosomal RNA", at positions 338 to 795 of the family's 1533-position model. The record is from RNAcentral.
CCUACGGGUGGCAGCAGUGGGGAAUAUUGGGCAAUGGGCGCAAGCCUGACCCAGCAACGCCGCGUGAAGGAAGAAGGCUUUCGGGUUGUAAACUUCUUUUGUCGGGGAAGAGUGGAAGACGGUACCUGACGAAUCAGCCACGGCUAACUACGUGCCAGCAGCCGCGGUAAUACGUAGGUGGCAAGCGUUGUCCGGAUUUGCUGGGUGUAAAGGGCGUGUAGCCGGGUUGACAAGUCAGAUGUGAAAUCCUGCGGCUUAACCGAAGAACUGCAUUUGAAACUGUUGAUCUUGAGUACUGGAGAGGCAGAUGGAACUCCUAGUGUAGCGGUGAAAUGCGUAGAUAUUAGGAGGAACACCAGUGGCGAAGGCGGUCUGCUGGACAGCAACUGACGGUGAGGCGCGAAAGCGUGGGGAGCAAACAGGAUUAGAUACCCUAGUAGUC